This 365-nucleotide ribosomal RNA is filed under the name uncultured bacterium. RNAcentral's name for it is "bacterial SSU rRNA". It matches the Rfam family "Bacterial small subunit ribosomal RNA", at positions 29 to 422 of the family's 1533-position model. The record is from RNAcentral.
AGCGAACGCUGGCGGCAGGCUUAACACAUGCAAGUCGAGCGCCCGUAGCAAUACGGGAGCGGCAGACGGGAGAGUAACACGUGGGAACAUACCUUUUGGUCGGAACAACCCAGGGAAACUUGGGCUAAUACCGGAUAAGCCCUUACGGGGAAAGAUUUAUCGCCGAAAGAUUGGCCCGCGUCUGAUUAGCUAGUUGGUGAGGUAACGGCUCACCAAGGCUACGAUCAGUAGCUGGUCNGAGAGGAUGAUCAGCCUCACUGGGACUGAGACACGGCCAGACUCCUACGGGAGGCAGCAGUGGGAAUAUUGGACAAUGGGCGCAAGCCUGAUCCAGCCAUGCCGCGUGAGUGAUGAAGGCCUUAGGG